AACCGCCGUGUACGGAACCGUACGCACGGUGGUGGUGUGAGAGGUCGGGAGAUUAUUAAAAUCUCCCUCCUACGCGAU
Molecule: unclassified non-coding RNA, 78 nt
Filed under: Lachnobacterium bovis
Lineage: Bacteria; Bacillati; Bacillota; Clostridia; Lachnospirales; Lachnospiraceae
Source: RNAcentral